RNAcentral lists this ribosomal RNA (496 nucleotides) under uncultured bacterium. RNAcentral describes it as "partial 16S ribosomal RNA". It matches the Rfam family "Bacterial small subunit ribosomal RNA", at positions 28 to 507 of the family's 1533-position model. The record is from RNAcentral.
GAUGAACGCUGGCGGCGUGCCUAAUACAUGCAAGUCGAGCGAACGGACGAGAAGCUUGCUUCUCUGAUGUUAGCGGCGGACGGGUGAGUAACACGUGGAUAACCUACCUAUAAGACUGGGAUAACUUCGGGAAACCGGAGCUAAUACCGGAUGAUAUUUUGAACCGCAUGGUUCAAAAGUGAAAGACGGUCUUGCUGUCACUUAUAGAUGGAUCCGCGCUGCAUUAGCUAGUUGGUAAGGUAACGGCUUACCAAGGCAACGAUGCAUAGCCGACCUGAGAGGGUGAUCGGCCACACUGGAACUGAGACACGGUCCAGACUCCUACGGGAGGCAGCAGUAGGGAAUCUUCCGCAAUGGGCGAAAGCCUGACGGAGCAACGCCGCGUGAGUGAUGAAGGUCUUCGGAUCGUAAAACUCUGUUAUUAGGGAAGAACAUAUGUGUAAGUAACUGUGCACAUCUUGACGGUACCUAAUCAGAAAGCCACGGCUAACACGUG